GCGCCUGUAGCGCAAUGGAUAGCGCAAUAGCCUCCGGAGCUAUGUGUACAGGUUCGACUCCUGUCAGGCGCA
Molecule: transfer RNA, 72 nt
Filed under: Candidatus Omnitrophota bacterium
Lineage: Bacteria; Pseudomonadati; Candidatus Omnitrophota
Description: tRNA-Arg
Rfam family: tRNA
About the family: Transfer RNA (tRNA) molecules are approximately 80 nucleotides in length. Their secondary structure includes four short double-helical elements and three loops (D, anti-codon, and T loops). Further hydrogen bonds mediate the characteristic L-shaped molecular structure. tRNAs have two regions of fundamental functional importance: the anti-codon, which is responsible for specific mRNA codon recognition, and the 3' end, to which the tRNAs corresponding amino acid is attached (by aminoacyl-tRNA synthetases). tRNAs cope with the degeneracy of the genetic code in two manners: having more than one tRNA (with a specific anti-codon) for a particular amino acid; and 'wobble' base-pairing, i.e. permitting non-standard base-pairing at the 3rd anti-codon position.
Source: RNAcentral